AUUAUUUUUUCUUUUAUUUAACUGAAAUGAAAAAGCUGUUGCUGUAGCUUUAAAACUUUAGCAAGGUUGUUAGUUGUUGAAAGCGGGACAAGCAGCAGUACAUUUGCAACAGUGAAGCAGUACUAAAUAAGAAUUAGUCCAAGUAUAGGUUGAAGUUAUUCAGAGUGAAACUUAAUUGCAGCGGAUAGAAAAUGUAGCUUUCACUUAGCAACAGAGUGGCAAUUAUAAAUGCAUAAGCAGGCAGAGACCAAAAUGAACUUGAAGUAAAAUACUUAGUGUUCAGUAGGAGUAGAUUCCGAAGCUCUUAUGAAGUGUUGCAUCCAGAUAUUGAAUACUUCCUUUGGAGCACAAGCAGAGGUCCUUCUUUCAAUCCGAGGUCGAGGAGAGGAGAAGGUAGGUCAACGAAUUUCAGUCCAGGGUUCGGUACACGUAACAGUAGUUGCAAUAAUUUGUAGCCGGUCUGAGGAUCGCGGGGGAAAGCCUCACAAUAAUCCAGCAUUUUGAAUCUGGCGCGGACUCCCUAUGUAGCGCACGGAGACCGCGUCAGAGAAGGGGGCAUGGCUAUGCUCCGUCUACCCGGAAGUGCAUGGGAAAUGGCGAAACCGACAGGUAUAACCUGACAAGGGGUUCAGGAAUUAGAUGGAAGGUGAAAUUUGACCGACUGCACACGAGGUAGUAUCCGAAAAAGGCUCCAUGUGUUUUGGCCUUGCGGUCGGUCUCUGUUCGGGAGUUAAAAUACAUAGAAAUGCUUGCCACCCACAGCUAAUCUUACAUUCGUAUUAAUUCCCUUGUUUGGGACAUUGAUUUUACCGAACGAGGGGCUGGUUGGCCCCUCCGUUUGUGAGUUACGGAGCUCUGGAGGUCUCAGCGGUGUUCGGUUGUUUGAGUGUCCAAUUUGAGUUCCAGACACACGACGACCAAACACCGCUGAGAUUUUCUUGUGUACGAUGGCCGUCGCCACGCGGUUCGUAUGCGAACGGUGACCACACAGAUACAUACAAAGUAACGAUUUCACGGUCAAUUAGGUUGCGGUUACAGAGUGUGAAAGCUUAACGAGGUGGACACUUCUCGCUGGGGUGGUCUGAUG
This is a non-coding RNA of Pelobates cultripes (western spadefoot toad), 1087 nucleotides long. Lineage: Eukaryota; Metazoa; Chordata; Amphibia; Anura; Pelobatidae. The record is from the annotation of a GenBank genome assembly.